UAAGAGCGGUUUUCUUUAACAGAUAAUAGUGCCAACGGUUGUUUAAAACCCGAAGCCACGCAAACGCUAUGUUUUCGAUUUAAUUUGCGAGUAGUAAUUCUACGAGUUAAAAGUUUGAAUUUUGAUAUCUUUGCCGGCUAUGAACAGGUGAAACCGACGUUCCUUAUCUCUACGAUGAUUAGUUGUGAAAACAUUUCACAAAUACGAAUGAAAUUACUUCAGGAAGCCUCACACGAUUGCAAAAGUAGACGCAUACUUUCUUCCAGCUACAUUCGACAGAGAGGCGAGUGGAAAUUGGCCGAGUUUCAAACAUAAAUUGAAUGCGAAAAGUUUACAAAUAUGCAAAUAGAAAAUUUGCAUUGUCCCAGUAGGACGACUGCUAUGUCGUUGUUUGAACCCAUUCCUUCCUCUGCAAACAAAUGUUGCUUUCAACGAUUAGAACUUUCAUAAUUCUCAAUCUAGGCAGUUCACUUUGCAUUACUGCUCUUUUAACCAUUCGCUAUCCAAAUUAUUUUUUUUCACGCAACAAUUUAAUUUUUAGCUCAUAGUUUCAGCGAGGGGAACCAAAAGUAAGGUCGUUUGUGAGGUGAAGAAGCAGUUCCUUCGCUGGAUGUGCGUUCAUAGUUAAUUACAAUUCUAGACAUCUUCAUAAAAUAAUAAUGUAACAAUUUUCAAUGGUCUGCGAACACGGGGUCAUAAAUAUAUUGAUAUAAACAUGUGUUAAGGCUUGCAUUUGUUAAAUCAGUGAAGCCAAGUAAGGACAGAAGCCAUCGGCUCAACGCAAAAGGCAAAAUCUACAUGAUUUGAUGCGAGGAUCAUUGGACUUCCGCGCCCAGUGAAAAGAAUUGUUGGUAUCCACCGGUGUUGAUUACGCAUGUGUACAAAGUUUGCGGUAACGGUGGCCGAAGUAACGCGACAUUCAAGAUUAAUCUGUAGGCCUACUGACGAACGGUUACUCUCGUUGUUGUGACAUUUUUAAUGUUGACGACUGCCGCCACUUCUGCCUCUACCAGUUCGGACCCGAAUGGAGCACCAGGCAGUAGCUACCAAGGGUAUAAAAAGUUGAUGGAAAAAUUCGAUGGCCUAAAGAAUUACAUUCCUUCUAAUAUGGACGAUCCCAUCGUUUUAAACGUUGGAGGGAAACGUUUCGAGACUUACGAAGAAACGCUUGCAAGAUUCCCCGACACUUUACUCGGCUCCAAGAGUCGGAGGUCGAAAUUUUACAACAGCAGACGGCAGGAAUACUUUUUCGAUAGACAUCGUUCGGCAUUUGACGCAAUUCUUUAUUAUUAUCAAUCCGGUGGAACUCUCAUAAGGCCAGAGCAUGUUCCCCCGCAUGUAUUCAUCAACGAAGUUGUCUUUUAUGACCUCCCUGAGGAAGCUGUUCAAGUUAUUCAACUUGAGGCAGGUAUAGCGGACGAGCCUGAAGAUCAACCGAUGCCGAGUAAUUACUACAUGGGAAUUAUUUGGAACGCGUUGGAAUACCCAAACUCGUCGAAAGUGGCCAAAUUUUUAGCCAUUUUUUCCGUGUUGGUAAUCACUUUGUCGUUAAUAAUUUUCUGCGUCGAGACUUUACCAACUUUUAAAAUGGCAAACCAAAGUCGACCGUCAAAUGCUACAGAUGACUGGAAACCACCUCCAAACCCUUAUGAUAAAGUGUGGUUUCAACUUAACACAUUUGUCAUCGUAUGGUUCACUGGAGAGUACGUUAUUCGCUUUAUUUGCUCCCCGCAAAAAUUGAAAUUUUUACUGGGUGCUUUGAAUCUUAUUGAUUUAUUAUCCAUUUUGCCUUACUAUGUUCAACUCGGACUUAAAGAAGAUGACUCUUCCAUCUCCGUGCUGCGCGUGGUGCGUGUGGUACGCGUGUUUCGAGUGUUUAAGCUCUCACGUCACUCGCGCGGGCUUCAAAUAUUGGGAAACACGCUGAAAGCGAGUUUGAAUGAACUGAUUAUGUUAAUGUUCUUCUUAGCAAUUGGCGUUAUGAUAUUUGCAAGUUGCGUCUACUACGCGGAAGGAGGGCCCGACAGUGAGGGUUUUCAAAGCAUUCCACACGCUUUCUGGUGGGCAGUCGUCACUAUGACUACUGUGGGUUACGGAGAUGUUUCCCCCGUCAGUUUACCAGGAAAGAUCGUGGGAGCACUGUGCGCCAUUUCAGGGGUGCUAACCAUUGCAUUGCCUGUACCCGUAAUCGUGUCCAAUUUCGAGAACUUUUACAACAAAGAGAUGAACCGAAGAAAAGAAGAGGAACUGAAGAAAGCAGAAGAAGCUCGAGAAAAGGGAAAGGCUAACAAAUCCGGUGAGAACAGCAGAAAGCAAUCUGUGGAACUCGAAAACAUGGAUGGUAAGAUUCUCAAGUCUCCAAGAGAUGUUGUGGUUUGUAGCGUUAACAACAAAGACGAGAAUUCGACCGAUAAGACUCAUCCAACACGGAGGUCAGUUGAGACUGUGUGACGAUCUGUGUCACUUGAUGCAUGUCACGUAAUGCAUUAUACCUGAUGUGAUAUGUGUCGUGCUGAAUUGCACAUUUGAGAACAUUGGAAGGCCUUUAUUCAAUGAUAUAUUUAUUCGUAUUAACUGCAAGAUAAACUGUCAAAAAAUUUCUAUCUCAGAGGCAAGAGUGGAUUUCAACGUUUAUUCCUUGAACUGAAGAGUGGAAAUGUUUCUCCUAGGCAACUGCUGAUGUCGAACGAUCGUCUGUACUCACAGCAAACCGGAAACGAAAUAUGGAAAUAGCUAUUACGUCAUAACUUCGUUGCUCUUAGUUCAAAAUAAUGCAUGAAUAUAGACCGGAGGUAGAUUACACGGCAUAAGCGGUGAACAAAAUCUAAGGAACUUUGGUCAUCCGCUUAAUCAAGCUUGAUUACAUAGUAUGAAAGUACAAGGAGUGACUCCAGUGUCCGCAAUAUACCAGUUCAAUCACAAGAAAGAAAAUUUGGACUUAGCACUAUGAGCACUCGCCUACUGUAGAAAAUUCUGUUAAAAAACACACCUAGUAAACUGCUAUACCAACUGGGAAAUAGCCUCUCGCCUUAUUUUCACCAACUUUCCGAUGCAAUUAUAUAUUCUAAGUUUUUGAGGACUCUUCGAACGACUAGGAUUGGGCUCUGUGAAGUACUUUCGACACACCUUUAGUAUUCUUCACCCUCCUGGUUCCCUCCGAGUAAAUAUGGCAAACUGUGGUAUUAGCGAAGAAAAAACUUUCUAGGUCUCGGAGGUGAUGGAUGUAAAACCACCUUUUGAAACUGUAAGGUCGGUACAAGCCGUUGCGGUAUGUGUACAUGAUGGAGUCAUUAGCACUUUGCUGAGAACACCAUCUCGAAAAACAGGGUAACAACAUUUUGUUCAGCUUCUCCUUGAAGGCAUCUUGAAGUACUAAUGCCAAAAAUCUUGUAUUACAAACGCCAAGUUUUGUCUUUCAUUUCUACACCGGGAUCUAAUAGGAAAACAAGCCCUAGACGCUCACGAUGAAGUUAAUUAAAGUGAAAAAUGUGGCCUGUCAGGAUUCUUGGUGAAAUUGUGUACCUGCCCAUCAAUAAGCGUCAAUAUAAUGCUUUGAAAACAAAUAAAUUAAAUUAGCUGAAACGGUGAAAAUGCCCACAACAGAACGGCACAUCGAGGGGAAGCUGAGUUUGAAGCUGAGUUUGAAGCUGAGGAACUAGACGUCAGUUAGACUUACGAGUUCUAAGGCGAUAAAGGACGAGGAUGGUAUAAAUUAGGGAAACAUAACGAAAUCGAAUCUUCACGUCUCAAGAACAUGAAUAAGAGCUGAGAUGGCAGGUUCGCCUCUUAGUGGUCAGCGGUGUGCAGUGUGCAAGCCUUACCUAGUACCUA
RNAcentral lists this unclassified non-coding RNA (3831 nucleotides) under Stylophora pistillata. RNAcentral's name for it is "potassium voltage-gated channel subfamily A member 7- like, transcript variant X3". The stretch from base 2086 to 2199 matches the Rfam family "Potassium channel RNA editing signal". The record is from RNAcentral. Lineage: Eukaryota; Metazoa; Cnidaria; Anthozoa; Scleractinia; Pocilloporidae.